This 257-nucleotide ribosomal RNA is filed under the name uncultured bacterium. RNAcentral describes it as "partial 16S ribosomal RNA". It matches the Rfam family "Bacterial small subunit ribosomal RNA", at positions 524 to 776 of the family's 1533-position model. The record is from RNAcentral.
UACGGGGGGGGGCAAGCGUUGUUCGGAAUUACUGGGCGUAAAGGGCGCGUAGGCGGCUCGCUAAGUCGGAUGUGAAAACUCUGGGCUCAACCCAGAGCCUGCAUUCGAAAACUGACGAGCUCGAGUUCUGGAGGGGAAAGCGGAAUUCCUGGUGUAGGCGGUGAAAUGACGUAGAUAUCAGGAGGAACACCGGUGGCGAAGGCGGCUUUCUGGACAGAAACUGACGCUGAUGCGCGAAAGCUAGGGGAGCAAACAGG